RNAcentral lists this ribosomal RNA (142 nucleotides) under uncultured bacterium. Its description in RNAcentral is "partial 16S ribosomal RNA". It matches the Rfam family "Bacterial small subunit ribosomal RNA", at positions 355 to 509 of the family's 1533-position model. The record is from RNAcentral.
UGGGGAAUAUUGGACAAUGGGCGGAAGCCUGAUCCAGCAACGCCGCGUGAGGGAUGACGGCCUUCGGUUGUAAACCUCUUUCUAGCACAGACGAAGCGCAAGUGACGGUAUGUGCAGAAGAAGGACCGGCCAACUACGUGCC